RNAcentral lists this non-coding RNA (21 nucleotides) under Caenorhabditis elegans. Lineage: Eukaryota; Metazoa; Nematoda; Chromadorea; Rhabditida; Rhabditidae. The record is from RNAcentral.
UAGGGAAAUUAAACAAAAAAA